This 724-nucleotide unclassified non-coding RNA is filed under the name Boletus sp. 2 CG-2012. RNAcentral describes it as "sequence contains ITS1, 5.8S rRNA gene, ITS2". The stretch from base 233 to 387 matches the Rfam family "5.8S ribosomal RNA". The record is from RNAcentral. Lineage: Eukaryota; Fungi; Basidiomycota; Agaricomycetes; Boletales; Boletaceae.
UAUCAAUUUUCGAGGAGGAAGAUGGAAAGCAGCGCACUGUCGCUGGCUUUCUCUGCAUAUGCACGUCUUUGCUUUUCAUCAACCUUUCUCACAUAUACACACCUGUGCACCCAUUGUAGGUCCUCGAAAGGGGAUCUAUGUUUCUUCAUAUCACACCCCUCGUAUGUUCAUAGAAUGUAUCAAAGACUGUCGACCAGGCUUGGUCCUGAUUGACAGGUCGAAUAAACUAUACAACUUUCAGCAACGGAUCUCUUGGCUCUCGCAUCGAUGAAGAACGCAGCGAAUUGCGAUAAGUAAUGUGAAUUGCAGAUUUCCAGUGAAUCAUCGAAUCUUUGAACGCACCUUGCGCUCCUUGGUAUUCCGAGGAGCAUGCCUGUUUGAGUGUCAUCGAAUUCUCAACCAUGUCUUGAUCAAUUUCAAGAGCAUGGCUUGGAGUUUGGGGGUUGCUGGCGGCAAAAGGCUGUCAGCUCUCCUGAAAUGCAUUAGCAAUGGGUCGCUAAGUCUUUUGAUGUGCAUGGCCUUCGACGUGAUAAUGAUCGUCGUGGCUGGAGCGUCAAGUCGGACUCAUGCAUGAAUGGCCUAGCAUUGCUUCUAAUCCAGAUCCUCUCGUCUCAGAACCAGCGGGUGAGCUUCAAGUAUUAGCUACUAGUCGGUCGUCAGGCCAGCGAACACUAGUACAGCACAUCUAGCUUUCUGGGCGAGUCAUGUUCUCUUUCGAAACUUG